This 488-nucleotide ribosomal RNA is filed under the name uncultured bacterium. RNAcentral's name for it is "partial 16S ribosomal RNA". It matches the Rfam family "Bacterial small subunit ribosomal RNA", at positions 28 to 507 of the family's 1533-position model. The record is from RNAcentral.
GACGAACGCUGGCGGCGUGCUUAACACAUGCAAGUCGAACGGAAAGGCCCUGCUUUUGUGGGGUGCUCGAGUGGCGAACGGGUGAGUAACACGUGAGUAACCUGCCCUUGACUUUGGGAUAACUUCAGGAAACUGGGGCUAAUACCGGAUAGGAGCUCCUGCUGCAUGGUGGGGGUUGGAAAGUUUCGGCGGUUGGGGAUGGACUCGCGGCUUAUCAGCUUGUUGGUGGGGUAGUGGCUUACCAAGGCUUUGACGGGUAGCCGGCCUGAGAGGGUGACCGGACACACGGGAACUGGGACACGGUCCAGACUCCGACGGGAGGCAGCAGUGGGGAAUAGUGGACAAUGGGCGGAAGGCGGAUGCAGCGAUACCGCGUGGGUGAAGAAGGCCUUCGGGGUGUAAAGCCCGUUUGUGGGGAAAGAAAAGCAGCAGGUUAAUACCCCGCUGUUCUGACGGUACCCAAAGAAUAAGCACCGGCUAACUUCGUG